This 159-nucleotide ribosomal RNA is filed under the name Oxalis blackii. RNAcentral describes it as "5.8S ribosomal RNA". It matches the Rfam family "5.8S ribosomal RNA". Rfam says of the family: 5.8S ribosomal RNA (5.8S rRNA) is a component of the large subunit of the eukaryotic ribosome. It is transcribed by RNA polymerase I as part of the 45S precursor that also contains 18S and 28S rRNA. Lineage: Eukaryota; Viridiplantae; Streptophyta; Magnoliopsida; Oxalidales; Oxalidaceae. RNAcentral also lists the same sequence under 2 other names. The record is from RNAcentral.
ACGACUCUCGACAACGGAUAUCUCGGCUCUCGCAUCGAUGAAGAACGUAGCGAAAUGCGAUACUUGGUGUGAAUUGCAGAAUCCCGUGAACCAUCGAGUCUUUGAACGCAAGUUGCGCCCGAAGCCGUCAGGCCGAGGGCACGCCUGCCUGGGUGUCAC